GAUUUAUAAAGAAGCGGCGAGAGAUCAGGCUCGAAAACCCGCUGGCAACCCUCCAAAGUGGAGAAGGUGCCAAUUCCUGUCCCGGAAAAAGUAUACCCGGGGGAUAUAAAUU
This 112-nucleotide non-coding RNA is filed under the name Mucilaginibacter pedocola. RNAcentral describes it as "SAM-I sequence". It matches the Rfam family "SAM riboswitch aptamer (S box leader)". From Rfam's summary of the family: The SAM riboswitch is found upstream of a number of genes which code for proteins involved in methionine or cysteine biosynthesis in Gram-positive bacteria. Lineage: Bacteria; Pseudomonadati; Bacteroidota; Sphingobacteriia; Sphingobacteriales; Sphingobacteriaceae. The record is from Rfam by way of RNAcentral.